Selaginella moellendorffii is the source of this 72-nucleotide transfer RNA. It matches the Rfam family "tRNA". From Rfam's summary of the family: Transfer RNA (tRNA) molecules are approximately 80 nucleotides in length. Their secondary structure includes four short double-helical elements and three loops (D, anti-codon, and T loops). The record is from Rfam. NCBI's taxonomy places the organism in Eukaryota, Viridiplantae, Streptophyta, Lycopodiopsida, Selaginellales, Selaginellaceae.
GGUUUCGUGGUCUAGUGGUGAUGACACUGGACUCUGAAUCCAGUAACCCGAGUUCGAAUCUCGGCGAAACCU